UCUAACCCGCAAGGGAGGGGGACGCCUAAGGCAGGGCUGAUGACUGGGGUGAAGUCGUAACAAGGUAGCCGUACCGGAAGGUGUGGCUGGAUCACCUCCUUUUAAGGAGACCCAAUCUGUUCAGGUUGCAACGUCACCUUAUUAGAACAGAUUCAAUGCGGUCUAAGCACGAGGUUGACCUUGGCUUUCAAACUCUGCUAGGUUAAGCAGACAGGCAUGGGCUAUUAGCUCAGGUGGUUAGAGCGCACCCCUGAUAAGGGUGAGGUCCCUGGUUCGAGUCCAGGAUGGCCCAUAUCACAUGCCUGGGGGUAUAGCUCAGUUGGUAGAGCACCUGCUUUGCACGCAGGGGGUCAGCGGUUCGAGUCCGCUUACCUCCACGUCACUCCAUCGGAAGCUGACGUGUCUGCACUCUGAAACUUCAGCAACCGAACCUUGAAAACUAAAUAGCGAUUUGUCAGGUAGUUAUCUUGGAUAGAACACUAACCUGUUCUAUCUAGAAACACAGACACCAAUGUUGACUGUGGUCAAGCUACAAAGAGCCUACGGUG
RNAcentral lists this unclassified non-coding RNA (548 nucleotides) under uncultured cyanobacterium. Its description in RNAcentral is "partial contains 16S ribosomal RNA and 16S-23S ribosomal RNA intergenic spacer". The stretch from base 1 to 102 matches the Rfam family "Bacterial small subunit ribosomal RNA", at positions 1434 to 1533 of the family's 1533-position model. The record is from RNAcentral. Lineage: Bacteria; Bacillati; Cyanobacteriota.